UUGAAUAAACAUUUGAUAGGCUGUUGCUGGCCCUUCUAGGGUAGUGUGCACGCUUGUCAUUUAUUUGUUUAUUUUUCCACCUGUGCACCUUUCUGUAGACCCUUAGGAUUUUGGGACUGCUGUGCCUAUAAACUUAUA
Molecule: unclassified non-coding RNA, 138 nt
Filed under: uncultured Inocybe
Lineage: Eukaryota; Fungi; Basidiomycota; Agaricomycetes; Agaricales; Cortinariaceae
Description: sequence contains ITS1
Source: RNAcentral